RNAcentral lists this transfer RNA (58 nucleotides) under Symplanella nigricans. RNAcentral's name for it is "tRNA-Ser". The record is from RNAcentral. Lineage: Eukaryota; Metazoa; Arthropoda; Insecta; Hemiptera; Caliscelidae.
AAGAAUAAACAUAAGAAGCUGCUAACUAUCUUUUAAGUGUUAACUCACUUUAUUCUUA